CGAUAUGAAAGUGUAUGUGUCCUAUGAAUUUUCCUUUCCUAACGAUCAACCUCAAACUGGCGGAAACCAUCAAACACAACAUUAAUCCUGUUCAAUGCUGUGGACAGAAUGGUCGUGUUACUUAAGUACUCAUGACGUCAUUAAUAUCCUAUGUUGUGGUUAUUGGAGUGGCAAUGGGGACUGGGGAGGAGUAUUUUUACAAGAGACAGAAUGGUCGUUAUACUUCAGUUCUCGAGACGUCAAUAAUAUCCAAUGUUGUGGUUAAUUUGAUCAAAAGUUUAAGAUAUCUAUCGACAGAAAAAACCGAUCGUUGGC
This is a long non-coding RNA of Xenia sp. Carnegie-2017, 315 nucleotides long. RefSeq lists it as uncharacterized. NCBI's taxonomy places the organism in Eukaryota, Metazoa, Cnidaria, Anthozoa, Malacalcyonacea, Xeniidae. The transcript is spliced from 4 exons. The record is from RefSeq and is a predicted model, not a curated record.